This 608-nucleotide ribosomal RNA is filed under the name Clonostachys rosea. RNAcentral's name for it is "eukaryotic LSU rRNA". The stretch from base 226 to 379 matches the Rfam family "5.8S ribosomal RNA". The record is from RNAcentral. Lineage: Eukaryota; Fungi; Ascomycota; Sordariomycetes; Hypocreales; Bionectriaceae.
CUUGGUCAUUUAGAGGAAGUAAAAGUCGUAACAAGGUCUCCGUUGGUGAACCAGCGGAGGGAUCAUUACCGAGUUUACAACUCCCAAACCCAUGUGAACAUACCUACUGUUGCUUCGGCGGGAUUGCCCCGGGCGCCUCGUGUGCCCCGGAUCAGGCGCCCGCCUAGGAAACUUAAUUCUUGUUUUAUUUUGGAAUCUUCUGAGUAGUUUUUACAAAUAAAUAAAAACUUUCAACAACGGAUCUCUUGGUUCUGGCAUCGAUGAAGAACGCAGCGAAAUGCGAUAAGUAAUGUGAAUUGCAGAAUUCAGUGAAUCAUCGAAUCUUUGAACGCACAUUGCGCCCGCCAGUAUUCUGGCGGGCAUGCCUGUCUGAGCGUCAUUUCAACCCUCAUGCCCCUAGGGCGUGGUGUUGGGGAUCGGCCAAAGCCCGCGAGGGACGGCCGGCCCCUAAAUCUAGUGGCGGACCCGUCGUGGCCUCCUCUGCGAAGUAGUGAUAUUCCGCAUCGGAGAGCGACGAGCCCCUGCCCGUUAAACCCCCAACUUUCCAAGGUUGACCUCAGAUCAGGUAGGAAUACCCGCUGAACUUAAGCAUAUCAAUAAGCGGAGGA